RNAcentral lists this long non-coding RNA (4814 nucleotides) under Sarcophilus harrisii (Tasmanian devil). RNAcentral describes it as "lncRNA (ENSSHAG00000028298.1)". Lineage: Eukaryota; Metazoa; Chordata; Mammalia; Dasyuromorphia; Dasyuridae. The record is from RNAcentral.
AUGCAUGAGGGGGGGCCUGCCUGGGCCGGGACUGAGGAGGCGGGGGGCAGGGGAACAGCUCCGGGUUCAGGGGCUGGAGACUGCGAGGGGAAGGAGUGGGGGUGGGGAGGGGGCGGUCCGGAGAGGAGGAGGGCGGGCGCUAACGUUGCUGAGAGCAUCAGACCCACGCCCAGGCCAGCUUCCCCGGUUUCUAAGCUGCGCUGUGGCCAGGUGGUGUUUGAGAACUUAGUGCACAGGGCACUCGGCGGGGGUGCCUCGGAGAACCCGGAAUCGGGGGGCUGCGGGGGGAGGGGGAGGGGAACAGGCCCCCUUUUCCAUCUCCUGCUUCAGUGCGCACCCAGGGCCCGGGCAUCUCAGAAGGAGAAAGGGACAACCCACUCCAGACGGAGCAUUUCUCAGGAAACAGGAAAGCGGGAGCGCACGGGAGGCGCGCAGGUGCUCCAAGCGCCCGCCCGAUCGCUUCUGAGGCGCCGGAGGAGGCGAGGGAGAGGGCGAGAGGGGAAAGCAAGAUGGAAGAGCAAGCAAUUUCUAAGAAAGCAGUCCUGGGGGAGAGGGAAGGCUCCUGCCCUCAAGCUCUGCCCCUUCCUGCUUUCUGCGUCACAGAGACAGGAGAGGGCAGGUCGGACAGAUACCAAGCAUUCUGGGAAAGGGGGACCAGCUGUAUCCCGGAGUUUGCAGAGGCAUGCAGCUGCUUAUGAUUUCCCGGAUCUAUUUAAGGGUAUCAGGAAAUAGCCUAAGGGCCGGGGUUGGUUUUGGUGGUUAGAAGCUGGCUGGGCUGUGGGGAAGGAAGGAAGGAGUGUGGACUGAAAGCUGGCAUUUGUGGUUAGAGAGACUUGAGUCAAUGUGUGGAGAGAAAGAACAGAUGUGUAAGUGAGAAUUGGUUUGGUACAAGUGGUGGAGGACCGACUGAAAGCCUAGAGGGGAAGAGAGAAUGUGUGAGUUAGUGGUGUACGUGUGACCCAGGAAGCCCGUCUCAGACGGGUGCAGAAUGGCACUGAAUGUUGAUCACAGGGAGAGAAUAAACGUGUAAAGGAUGAGUCAGGGAGGGGUGACCCCGGUUCCCUGGGUCACACGCUGAAGGGAUGAGCAGGGAAGAAGCUGUAAAGGCAGAUCCUACAGUGGGCCUGAAUGGAGGCUCAUGGGAUCAUAAAUCUAUAGCCAGAAGGGACCUUAGAGGUGAAGCAGUCGGUGCCUUCGUUUUACAAAUGAGCCCACACAUAAACUUUAGUAAUAAUGAUCAGGAGUAGAAUUUAUUGUGGAAAAACAAAAAACAGUAACCAUUGAUCUCGGACAAAGUUAAACCUGAAAUAGAUCUAAUCGAAAGAGAAAAAUAGGGAAACUACUCUGUGUCAGCCAUUUUAAUCAAUGUUUUAGAAAUGUUUAGAAACAGGACAAACAAGCAUAGUACACCUUUUUAUAGAUGUAUACAAAUCUGUAUAUGUGUAUGUAUGUGUAUGAUUAUCUAUGUAGGUAUGUCUGCAUUUGUACAUAUGUACAAUACAUAUGCACACAUGUAUAUAAAUCUGUUAUAUAUGUGAGUGUGAUUACAUGUAUAUGUGUAUCUGUACGUAUACACGUGUGUGUACACAAAUCUGCAUGUGUAUAUAUGUGUAUAUGUCUAUGUAUACAUAUAUAUAAAUAUAUACAAAUCUGUACAUGUAUAUAUGUAUAUAUGCAUAUGAUUAUCUGUAUAUCUGUAUGUAUGCAUAUGUAUAUAGAUGUAUACAAAACUGUACAUGUGUAUAUGCAUGUGAUUAUCUGCAUCUGUAUGUAUAUAUAUGUUUAUAGAGGCAUGCAAAUCUAUCUGUAUAUGUGCAUGUAUGCAUAUGAUUAUCUGUAUCUGUAUAUCUGUAUUAUAGGUAUGUAUAUAGAUGUAUACAAAUCUGUAUAUGUAUAUGCAUAUAUAUGAUUAAGGUAUCUACUUAUAUGUAUAUAUAGGUGUGUGUAGGUAUAUACAUGCAUAAUACAUAUAUGUGCUUGUAUGUAUCUCUAUCCUUCAUUAUAGCCUUCUUGGGGCAGGUGGUGGGAAAGAUGGAGGAAAAAACAUAAAGUAAAAAAUGCACAAUAGAGAACAAAAAACCUACAAGAAAGCAAAGAAAAAAUGAACUCUGAACACAAAAUAGGUAGUAUUUAUUAUAUAGGUUUUCUUGAAAUGGAAAUGUUUCAUAUUUUGAAUCCUUUCAUGUUCUGCUGUGCACAUGACAUUUUUUUUCUUUUUCUACUUUGCAUUUAAAGUUUAAAUAGAUAAAAAUUUUAAAACACAAAUGGACAAACUGAGGGUCAAUGAGUUUGAGACUUGCCCAAGAUCAUACAUGUAAUAAAUUGUAGGCAGGAUUAAAAUUAAGAUCCUUUGACUUUAAAUAUAGUGGUUUCUUCACUAUAUGUAUAUUUCUUUUAAAAUAUUUUCAUCUGUUUGUAGCAGCCCUUUUUGUAGUGUCAAGGAAUCAGAAACUGAGUGGAUACUCAUCAGUUGGGGAAUAGCUGAAAAAGUUAUGGAAUGUUAUGGAAUAUUAUCAUUCUAUAAGAUACGACUAGUAGGAUGAUUUCAGAGAACCCUGGAGAGACCUACAUGAACUGAUGCGAAGUGAAGUGAGUAAAACCAAGAGAACAUUGUACAUAGCAACAAGAUUAUGUGAUGAUCAACUAUGAUGGACUUGGCUGUUUUCGACAAUGUGAUGAUUCAGGCCAAUUCCAAUAGAGUUGUGAUGGAGAGCCAUCUGCACCUAGAGAGAGGACUGUGGAGACUGAAUGUGUAUUAUGACAUAGUAUUUUCACUUUUUUGUUGUUGUUGGUUUGCUUGUUUUCUCAUUUUUUUUCUCUUUUUGAUCUGAUUUUUCUUAUGCAGUAUGAUAAAUGUAGAAAUAUAUUUAGAAGAAUUGCACAUGUUUAACCUCUAUUGGAUUACUUGCUGUCUAGGGGAAAGAAAGACGGGGAAGAGUGGGAGAAAAAUUUGGAACACAGGUUUUUGCAAGGGUGAAUGUUGAAAACUAUCUGCAUAUAUUUUGAAAACAAAAGUUAUUAAAAUUUUUUAAAAAUAAAAAUAUUUUUAUCAUCAAUUAACGAAGCAUUGAUUUUCUCUCUCUACCAUGGCCACCAAUUCUCUUGCUAGGAAAAAAACAGCCAGAAAAACAAAAUCCUUUGCACAAUUAUACAUUGUCAAACAAAAUAUAUUUGUAUAUUGGUCAUGUCCAAAAGUGAAUGUGUCACUUUGCAUCUUAAAACUAUUAUCUCAACUCUGAGAUACCACUACACACCUGUCAGAUUGGCUAAGAUGACAGGAAAAAAUAAUGAUGAGUGUUGGAGGGGAUGUGGGAAAACUUAGACACUGAUACAUUGUUGGUGUAGUUGUGAACGAAUCCAACCAUUCUGGAGAGCAAUUUGGAAUUAUACCCCAAAAGUUAUCAAACUGUGCAUACCCUUUGAUCCAGCAGUGCUACUACUGGGCUUAUACCCCAAAGAGAUACUAAAGAAGGGAAAGGGACCUGCAUGUGCCAAAAUGUUUGUGGCAGCCCUGUUUGUAGUGGCUAGAAACUGGAAAAUGAAUGAAUGCCCAUCAAUUGGAGAAUGGUUGGGUAAAUUGUGGUAUAUGAAUGUUAUGGAAUAUUAUUGUUCUGUAAGAAAUGACCAGCAGGAUGAAUACAGAGAGGCUUGGAGAGACUUACAUGAACUGAUGCUAAGUGAAAUGAGCAGAACCAGAAGGUCAUUGUAUACUUCAACAACGAUACUGUAUGAGGAUGCAUUCUGAUGGAAGUGGAUUUCUUUGACAAAGAGAAGAUCUAACUCAGUUCCAAUUGAUCAAUGAUGGACAGAAGCAGCUACACCCAGAGAAGGAACACUGGGAAAUGAGUGUAAACUGUUUGCAUUUUUGUUUUUCUUCCCAGGUUAUUUUUACCUUCUGAAUCCAAUUCUCCCUGUGCAACAAGAGAACUGUUCAGUUCUGCAUACAUAUAUUGUAUCUAGGAUAUACUGCGACAUAUUUAAAAUGUAUAAGACUGCUUGCCAUCUGGGGGAGGAGGUGGAGGGAGAGAAGGGAAAAAUCAGAACAGAAGUGAGUGCAAGGAUAAUGUUGUAAAAAAAUUACCCUGGCAUGGGUUCUGUCAAUAAAAAGUUAUUAUAAUAAUAAAAAAAAGAAAAGAAAAAGCUUUAAUAAAAAUAAAAUAAAAAAUAAGAAAAUGCCAAAAAACAAAACCAAAACGAAACUGUUGUCUCUUGGUUAGAAAUUGGAUUGUAGAACUGAAUUAUGGUUGGUCAUCACAUCAAAGUCCUUAAAGUGAGCAGCUAGGCAGCAGUGGAUACAGCGCUGGGCUGAGAACCAGGAAGAUUUGUCUUACUAAGUUCAAAUUUAGCUUCAGACACUGACUGACUGUGUUACCGGGGACAAAUCAUUUAAUCCUGUUUGCCUGUGUAAUGAGCUGAGGUAGAGGAGGGCAAACCACUCCAGUAUCUUUGCCAAGAAAACCCCAAAUGGGGUCAUAGAAUCAGAUGCAACUAAACACAAAAAGUCAUAUUUUUCUCCUGUUUCUGCUUUCUUUACCCUGCAUCAGUCCAUACAUGAUUUCCCAAGUUUCUCUGACGCUGUCCUUUUCAUCAUUCCUUUUGGUUAGAUAGCAGUCCAUUCUAUUCAUAGACUAUAAUUUGGUCAGCCAUUUCUUAAUUGAUGGGUAUCCCCUUAUUCUCCUAUUAUUUGAUACCACAAAAAUGUUUUAUGAGCUAUAUAUAUAUAUAUCCUUUUUUCUUCAUCUUUUUUUUCUAAGUAUAUAUAGCCUUAGUAGUGGUAUUGCUAAAUCAAAUUUAUAUAUGUAUAUAUAUACACA